UCUUAUGAGCCAUUCUUCUCCAAAAUGGGAAUAAUAAUAAUAAUAAGCAGGAUCAGGCCUGGUUAGUACUUGGAUGGGAGACCACCUAGGAAGACCAGGUGCUAUAGGCA
This 110-nucleotide ribosomal RNA is filed under the name Pteropus alecto (black flying fox). Lineage: Eukaryota; Metazoa; Chordata; Mammalia; Chiroptera; Pteropodidae. The record is from RNAcentral.